RNAcentral lists this transfer RNA (59 nucleotides) under Phenacoccus manihoti (cassava mealybug). RNAcentral's name for it is "tRNA-Gln". RNAcentral also lists the same sequence under 1 other name. Lineage: Eukaryota; Metazoa; Arthropoda; Insecta; Hemiptera; Pseudococcidae. The record is from RNAcentral.
UUUAUUUAAGCAAGUUUAAAAUUUUGAAUUUUAAUUCUAAUUUAUUUUAGUAAAUAAAU